Molecule: ribosomal RNA, 478 nt
Filed under: uncultured bacterium
Lineage: Bacteria
Description: partial 16S ribosomal RNA
Rfam family: Bacterial small subunit ribosomal RNA
Source: RNAcentral
GACGAACGCUGGCGGCGUGCUUAACACAUGCAAGUCGAACGGUAAGGCCCUUCGGGGUACACGAGUGGCGAACGGGUGAGUAACACGUGGGUGAUCUGCCCUGCACUUCGGGAUAAGCCUGGGAAACUGGGUCUAAUACCGGAUAGGACCACUGCCUGCAUGGGUGGUGGUGGAAAGAUUUUGCGGUGUGGGGUGGGCCCGCGGCCUAUCAGCUUGUUGGUGGGGUGAUGGCCGACCCAGGCGACGACGGGUAGCCGGCCUGAGAGGGUGACCGGCAACACUUGGACUGAGCGACGGCCCAGACUCAUACGGGUGGGAGCAGUGGAGAAUAUUACACAAUGGGCGCAAGCCUGAUGCAGCGACGCCGCGUGAGUGAUGACGGCCUUCUGGUUGUAAACCUCGUUCAGCACCGACGAAGCGCAAGUGACGGUAGGUGCAGAAGAAGGACCGGCCAACUACGUGCCAGCCGCCGCGGUAA